GAUGAACGCUGGCGGCGUGCCUAAUACAUGCAAGUCGAGCGAACAGACGAGGAGCUUGCUCCUCUGACGUUAGCGGCGGACGGGUGAGUAACACGUGGAUAACCUACCUAUAAGACUGGGAUAACUUCGGGAAACCGGAGCUAAUACCGGAUAAUAUAUUGAACCGCAUGGUUCAAUAGUGAAAGACGGUUUUGCUGUCACUUAUAGAUGGAUCCGCGCCGCAUUAGCUAGUUGGUAAGGUAACGACUUACCAAGGCGACGAUGCGUAGCCGACCUGAGAGGGUGGUCGGCCACACUGGAACUGAGACACGGUCCAGACUCCUACGGGAGGCAGCAGUAGGGAAUCUUCCGCAAUGGGCGAAAGCCUGACGGAGCAACGCCGCGUGAGUGAUGAAGGUCUUCGGAUCGUAAAACUCUGUUAUUAGGGAAGAACAAAUGUGUAAGUAACUAUGCACGUCUUGACGGUACCUAAUCAGAAAGCCACGGCUAACUACGUG
RNAcentral lists this ribosomal RNA (497 nucleotides) under uncultured bacterium. RNAcentral describes it as "partial 16S ribosomal RNA". It matches the Rfam family "Bacterial small subunit ribosomal RNA", at positions 28 to 507 of the family's 1533-position model. The record is from RNAcentral.